Molecule: long non-coding RNA, 287 nt
Filed under: Selaginella moellendorffii
Lineage: Eukaryota; Viridiplantae; Streptophyta; Lycopodiopsida; Selaginellales; Selaginellaceae
Description: long non-coding RNA (SMOE_LNC000598)
Source: RNAcentral
UCAACAAGAAUCUCUACUUGCUGCGUGACAAAGCACCAUCCACGCCUGGGGGUGGCGCAGUCGACUUCGUCAAUGGCUACACGGAAGAAGUGAGCUCAAAUCUGUGGUCCAUAGCUGAAACGAAGAAAACGUGACUGAUACCAUUUUGGCAGGAUACUUUAUACCUGAGGGACAUCGAGGCACGAGAGGACGCCGGAACGCCACCGAUUCUCCAGAAGAUCAAGGCUGCUUUAGCGUUUUGGAUCAAAGAGGAGAUGGGAUACGAGCUCAUCGAGUCCAGAGAGCAG